Molecule: small nuclear RNA, 102 nt
Organism: Portunus trituberculatus (swimming crab)
Lineage: Eukaryota; Metazoa; Arthropoda; Malacostraca; Decapoda; Portunidae
Source: RefSeq, a predicted model, not a curated record
GGUCGUAAGUUAACGACCAGCUAAACUUGAAUGAUGCAGAGAAGAUUGGCAUCGUCCUUGCGCAAGGAGGACAAAAAAAAAAGUGAAAUAUUCUGCAUGAAA